CUGCGCCACGAAUGGUGAUCACGAUUAUUGGGUCUAGAGCGUCCGUAGCCGGUUUAGCAAGUUCCUGGUGAAAUCUAGCAGUAAACUGUUAGGCAUACUGGGAAAACUAUUAAACUUGAGAUCGGGAAAGGUCGGAGGUAGUCCAUGGGUAGGGGUUAAAUCCUUUAAUCCAUGGAGGACCACCGGUGGCGAAGGCGUCCGACUGGAACGAGUCUGACGGUGAGGGACGAAAGCGUGGGUAGCAAAUCGGAUUAGAGACCCGAGUAGUCC
Molecule: ribosomal RNA, 270 nt
Filed under: uncultured archaeon
Lineage: Archaea
Description: partial 16S ribosomal RNA
Rfam family: Archaeal small subunit ribosomal RNA
Source: RNAcentral